This 518-nucleotide ribosomal RNA is filed under the name Lima zealandica. Its description in RNAcentral is "partial 16S ribosomal RNA". It matches the Rfam family "Bacterial large subunit ribosomal RNA", at positions 1914 to 2620 of the family's 2925-position model. Lineage: Eukaryota; Metazoa; Mollusca; Bivalvia; Limoida; Limidae. The record is from RNAcentral.
UUAUCAGCUUUUAACGGCUGCGGUAAUACGGCCUUAGGUAGCACAAUUAGCUUGCCCUUUAAUUGUGGUGCGAUACGUGAAUGGCAAGACGAGAGUUCAGCUGUCUCGAUGUUGGUGAGGUGAAAAUAUAGUGCAGGUGAAGAUGCCUGCAUGGCGUAGGGGGAAGAGAAGACCCCGUGGAACUUUAGUGAUAGUCUGUAAGCAUUAAAUAGCCUUUAGCGAAAUGUCGCGUGGCUAAGAGAUGGUGUUUAGGUGUUCAUAUUAGCUGGGGCAGCUAGGUAAGCAAAGUAUAUUAUCGAAGGGGCGAUAAAAGCGUGCUUGCUAAUAAGAUCCACUGAAAAAGUGAUCUUCGGAAUUAGUUACCCCGGGGGUAACAGACUAAUCUCGCUCUGUGAGGACGUAUUGACGAGCGGGUUUGGCACCUCGAUGUUGGCUUGGGAUGUCCUGGGGAUGUAGGAGUCCUCAAGGGUUGGUCUGUUCGCCCAUUAAAAUCCUACGUGAUCUGAGUUCAAACCGGA